UAGGGAAUCUUCCGCAAUGGACGCAAGUCUGACGGAGCAACGCCGCGUGAGUGAAGAAGGAUUUCGGUUCGUAAAACUCUGUUGUUAGAGAAGAACAGCGCAUAGAGUAACUGUUAUGCGUGUGACGGUAUCUAACCAGAAAGCCACGGCUAACUACGUGCCAGCAGCCGCGGUAAUACGUAGGUGGCAAGCGUUGUCCGGUGUUAUUGGGCGUAAAGCGAGCGCAGGCGGUCAAUUAAGUCUGAUGUGAAAGCCCCCGGCUCAACCGGGGAGGCUCAUUGGAACCGGGUUGACUUGAGUGCAGAAGAGGAGAGUGGAAUUCCGUGUGUAGCGGUGAAAUGCGUAGAUAUAUGGAGGAACACCAGUGGCGAAGGCGACUCUCUGGUCUGUAACGGACGCUGAGGCUCGAAAGCGUGGGUAGCAAACAGG
RNAcentral lists this ribosomal RNA (429 nucleotides) under Bacteroidota bacterium. RNAcentral describes it as "Bacteroidetes bacterium partial 16S ribosomal RNA". It matches the Rfam family "Bacterial small subunit ribosomal RNA", at positions 355 to 776 of the family's 1533-position model. The record is from RNAcentral. Lineage: Bacteria; Pseudomonadati; Bacteroidota.